Molecule: non-coding RNA, 598 nt
Organism: Tetranychus urticae (two-spotted spider mite)
Lineage: Eukaryota; Metazoa; Arthropoda; Arachnida; Trombidiformes; Tetranychidae
Source: RefSeq, a predicted model, not a curated record
UGGCGUUUAUGUUAUUUAACAGCAGUUUUGUAUUUUUGAAAAGCUUCUUUGCUAUCCUUAGUUUUCCUUAAACAAUCAGUUCAAUUAUUAAUUCAAGUUAUCGCCCUCAACUUAAUUGUAAUUAGAUCCGGCUUCAUUUUUAACUACUAUCUUGUCUCCUUAAGAUUUUUAAUUUAGGUUUUUCAUUAUGGGUGAUAUCGAAGAUGAUAUGGAGAUUGAAAGGAGUGAAGUUAAUAAUGAACUACCCAGCAGUUCAACUUCAUCGUCUGGUGGUAAAAAACGUUUCGAGGUUAAAAAGUGGAGCGCUGUAGCUUUAUGGGCUUGGGACAUUGUCGUUGAUAAUUGUGCUAUUUGCCGUAAUCAUAUCAUGGAUCUCUGUAUAGAAUGUCAAGCUAAUCAAGCCUCAGCUACUUCACAGGAAUGUACAGUAGCUUGGGGAGUUUGUAAUCAUGCUUUCCACUUUCACUGUAUCUCAAGAUGGUUGAAAACAAGACAAGUUUGUCCAUUGGAUAAUCGAGAAUGGGAAUUCCAAAAAUAUGGUCAUUAGUGAAUUUUUUAAAUAAUGUUGGCAUCACGAUUAAAAGCAUUUUCUAUUUAA